UGUUCAGUGCUUCCACAAUAAACCAUUUGACUGUAGAUGUAGUAAAAUCCUUCAACAUUUAUCGUGAUACGCCCGUUGCUAUAGGCAAUGUCUCCGGCCUCUUGUGAAAUUUUCCAAAACGAAACGGCUGCAGCUGUAAUGUAACAAACAUUUGCCUGUUUUUUAAACUGGCGCGUCAUAUAAGGCUGCUAUAGUAUGCAUUUUUCGCAAAUCGUACCUUCCAAGUUGUUCAAAUUUUUAUCUUGUCUUCCAUCGCCGGUCAUAUGAAGUAAUGGAGUUUCCUGAUAAUAAUUUCAGUUAAUAAUUGAGAAACAUAGAAAUAAUGAUAUAGCCAUAAAAAUAAGAUAACAUACGAUACAUGCAGUCACCGUACUUGAGUAUUUGUCAAUGAAUUUUUUCCGCAGGAUUUAUCACAGACGCCUUGAUCACCUGUCAAUAUAAAACGUACGUUUGAAAAUUGAAUUUUUCCCAGCUUGCAUGCAUGUUGGUAGCACAUGUGUAAUACCGAUUAAUACGCACUAUUAAUAGUUUUUGCCUCGCAUUUGGUUCAAACAAAACGUGAGAUUAAUGUGAGAUGAUCUGCAAUCUUUUACCCCGUGCAUAAAAUCCUGCAUGCGCUUCUUUUUAAACAAAAAACCUUUCGUACAUGACCAUUUAUAUAAACAUCACAAAAUUUACAAUAUAUAAUUUUAAUUUAAGUUUAAGUUUGUAAAUUACUGUAAAUUACAAGAGUUGAUAGUCUACCUUUCUCCCCUUUCAUUCCAUUGCUUCCAGUCUUUCCAGGCAAACCAAUUUCACCGUUUCUCCCUGGAUCGCCUUUCUGACCUGCGUAUAGAAAUCCUUGUUGUCAUAAUAUGCGCACGCACCCACUGAAGCGUUUGUUCGCGUCUUUCCACGCGACAAUAAAACUUCAAAUCGUUUUCAGAAUUUUUGAAGAAGAGAAACAAUCAGAAUUUUUGAAGAGGAGAGGUAUAGACGCAAAAACAGCAAUACGUGUAAUGUCUGUUACUCGUAUUGUUGAUGCAGACAGGGGACUAAUAUUGAUAGAUGGGGUGCAACGGAGAGAAAAUAGUAAAAUAGAAAAUAUUGACCAAGGUUGAAUUGGGAAACUUGGUACUUAAGUGGUUGAGUAAAAAAUACUAGGGCGCUGCAUACAUACAUGCACGUACUUGCCAUUUGAACUAAAUCUUACACAUGCAAUUGUUCUACAGUUAAACAUGUUUCACAAUGGGCAUAAACUGUUAAAAGUUUACACUUUACUUCGUUGAAGAGAAGUGUGGUGGCUAAUAUUUGACAUGCACUGAUUUGCGACUCUUUUAAUUUAGAUCUUCUGGCAUAAAAAUUUGGCGAACUGACUUUUAAAGGAAUACCUUCUUCUCCUAAAAUUACGAGAUACAGACAUCGUUAGUAUCAUCACUGGGUCGAUGUGGCGUCUACAACUGUAUGAAUAGUUUAUGACCAUACAAGAGCGGUAUUAUAUACCUUUAUCCCCCUUUUCUCCUUUAUCUCCUAUAUUACCAACAAUUCCUCUAUCACCUUUAUCACCUGUA
RNAcentral lists this long non-coding RNA (1550 nucleotides) under Dendronephthya gigantea. Its description in RNAcentral is "uncharacterized LOC114535709". The record is from RNAcentral. Lineage: Eukaryota; Metazoa; Cnidaria; Anthozoa; Malacalcyonacea; Nephtheidae.